Molecule: small nuclear RNA, 119 nt
Organism: Sarcophilus harrisii (Tasmanian devil)
Lineage: Eukaryota; Metazoa; Chordata; Mammalia; Dasyuromorphia; Dasyuridae
Source: Ensembl
GUGCUAGUCCUCCUGAGAGAAGGUUAGCACUCCUUUGGAUAAGGAUGGAAGCGGUACAAGUGGCCUUGAUAAGGCUAAGCCUUUGCCACCAACUCUGUGACAUUUAACCAUGAAAGCCC